RNAcentral lists this ribosomal RNA (230 nucleotides) under uncultured bacterium. Its description in RNAcentral is "partial 16S ribosomal RNA". It matches the Rfam family "Bacterial small subunit ribosomal RNA", at positions 103 to 334 of the family's 1533-position model. The record is from RNAcentral.
CGGGUGAGUAACGCGUGGGUAACCUGCCCUGUACACACGGAUAACAUACCGAAAGGUAUGCUAAUACGGGAUAACAUAUUUUGAUGGCAUCAUCGAAAUAUCAAAGCUUUGGCGGUACAGGAUGACCCGCGUCUGAUUAGCUAGUUGGUGAGGUAAUGGCUCACCAAGGCGACGAUCAGUAGCCGACCUGAGAGGGUGAUCGGCCACAUUGGAACUGAGACACGGUCCAA